GCCCAGCUAGCUCAGUCAGCAGAGCAUGAGACUCUUAAUCUCAUAGGUCAUAGGUUUGUGCCCCACGUUGGGUA
Molecule: transfer RNA, 74 nt
Filed under: Cricetulus griseus (Chinese hamster)
Lineage: Eukaryota; Metazoa; Chordata; Mammalia; Rodentia; Cricetidae
Rfam family: tRNA
About the family: Transfer RNA (tRNA) molecules are approximately 80 nucleotides in length.
Source: Rfam by way of RNAcentral